RNAcentral lists this ribosomal RNA (490 nucleotides) under uncultured bacterium. Its description in RNAcentral is "partial 16S ribosomal RNA". It matches the Rfam family "Bacterial small subunit ribosomal RNA", at positions 30 to 507 of the family's 1533-position model. The record is from RNAcentral.
AUUGAACGCUGGCGGCAGGCCUAACACAUGCAAGUCGAACGGUAACAGGAAGCAGCUUGCUGCUUUGCUGACGAGUGGCGGACGGGUGAGUAAUGUCUGGGAAACUGCCCGAUGGAGGGGGAUAACUACUGGAAACGGUAGCUAAUACCGCAUAACGUCGCAAGACAAAAGAGGGGGACCUUAGGGCCUCUUGCCAUCGGAUGUGCCCAGAUGGGAUUAGCUAGUAGGUGGGGUAACGGCUCACCUAGGCGACGAUCCCUAGCUGGUCUGAGAGGAUGACCAGCCACACUGGAACUGAGACACGGUCCAGACUCCUACGGGAGGCAGCAGUGGGGAAUAUUGCACAAUGGGCGCAAGCCUGAUGCAGCCAUGCCGCGUGUAUGAAGAAGGCCUUCGGGUUGUAAAGUACUUUCAGCGGGGAGGAAGGGAGUAAAGUUAAUACCUUUGCUCAUUGGCGUUACCCGCAGAAGAAGCACCGGCUAACUCCGUG